UGCUGUGAACUCGAAGAGUAGGGCGGGACACGUGGUAUCCUGUCUGAAUAUGGGGGGACCAUCCUCCAAGGCUAAAUACUCCUGACUGACCGAUAGUGAACCAGUACCGUGAGGGAAAGGCGAAAAGAACCCCGGCGAGGGGAGUGAAAAAGAACCUGAAACCGUGUACGUACAAGCAGUGGGAGCCUCUUUAUGGGGUGACUGCGUACCUUUUGUAUAAUGGGUCAGCGACUUAUAUUCUGUAGCAAGGUUAACCGUAUAGGGGAGCCGAAGGGAAACCGAGUCUUAACUGGGCGUUAAGUUGCAGGGUAUAGACCCGAAACCCGGUGAUCUAGCCAUGGGCAGGUUGAAGGUUGGGUAACACUAACUGGAGGACCGAACCGACUAAUGUUGAAAAAUUAGCGGAUGACCUGUGGCUGGGGGUGAAAGGCCAAUCAAACCGGGAGAUAGCUGGUUCUCCCCGAAAGCUAUUUAGGUAGCGCCUCGUGAACUCAUCUUCGGGGGUAGAGCACUGUUUCGGCUAGGGGGCCAUCCCGGCUUACCAACCCGAUGCAAACUACGAAUACCGAAGAAUGUUAUCACGGGAGACACACGGCGGGUGCUAACGUCCGUCGUGAAGAGGGAAACAACCCAGACCGCCAGCUAAGGUCCCAAAGUCAUGGUUAAGUGGGAAACGAUGUGGGAAGGCACAGACAGCCAGGAUGUUGGCUUAGAAGCAGCCAUCAUUUAAAGAAAGCGUAAUAGCUCACUGGUCGAGUCGGCCUGCGCGGAAGAUGUAACGGGGCUAAACCAUGCACCGAAGCUGCGGCAGCGACACUAUGUGUUGUUGGGUAGGGGAGCGUUCUGUAAGCCGUUGAAGGUGUGCUGUGAGGCAUGCUGGAGGUAUCAGAAGUGCGAAUGCUGACAUAAGUAACGAUAAAGCGGGUGAAAAGCCCGCUCGCCGGAAGACCAAGGGUUCCUGUCCAACGUUAAUCGGGGCAGGGUGAGUCGACCCCUAAGGCGAGGCCGAAAGGCGUAGUCGAUGGGAAACAGGUUAAUAUUCCUGUACUUGGUGUUACUGCGAAGGGGGGACGGAGAAGGCUAUGUCAGCCGGGCGACGGUUGUCCCGGUUUAAGCAUGUAGGCGGAGGUUCCAGGUAAAUCCGGUACCUUUUAACGCUGAGGUGUGAUGACGAGGCACUACGGUGCUGAAGUGAUAAAUGCCCUGCUUCCAGGAAAAGCCUCUAAGCAUCAGGUAACACGAAAUCGUACCCCAAACCGACACAGGUGGUCAGGUAGAGAAUACCAAGGCGCUUGAGAGAACUCGGGUGAAGGAACUAGGCAAAAUGGUGCCGUAACUUCGGGAGAAGGCACGCUGAUAUGUAGGUGAAGCCCCUGCGGGCGGAGCUGAAAUCAGUCGAAGAUACCAGCUGGCUGCAACUGUUUAUUAAAAACACAGCACUGUGCAAACACGAAAGUGGACGUAUACGGUGUGACGCCUGCCCGGUGCCGGAAGGUUAAUUGAUGGGGUUAGCGGCAACGCGAAGCUCUUGAUCGAAGCCCCGGUAAACGGCGGCCGUAACUAUAACGGUCCUAAGGUAGCGAAAUUCCUUGUCGGGUAAGUUCCGACCUGCACGAAUGGCGUAAUGAUGGCCAGGCUGUCUCCACCCGAGACUCAGUGAAAUUGAACUCGCUGUGAAGAUGCAGUGUACCCGCGGCAAGACGGAAAGACCCCGUGAACCUUUACUAUAGCUUGACACUGAACACUGGUCCUUGAUGUGUAGGAUAGGUGGGAGGCUUUGAAGCGUGGACGCCAGUCUGCGUGGAGCCAUCCUUGAAAUACCACCCUUUAAUGGCUGGUGUUCUAACGUAGACCCGUGAUCCGGGUUGCGGACAGUGUCUGGUGGGUAGUUUGACUGGGGCGGUCUCCUCCCAAAGAGUAACGGAGGAGCACGAAGGUUGGCUAAUCCUGGUCGGACAUCAGGAGGUUAGUGCAAUGGCAUAAGCCAGCUUGACUGCGAGCGUGACGGCGCGAGCAGGUGCGAAAGCAGGUCAUAGUGAUCCGGUGGUUCUGAAUGGAAGGGCCAUCGCUCAACGGAUAAAAGGUACUCCGGGGAUAACAGGCUGAUACCGCCCAAGAGUUCAUAUCGACGGCGGUGUUUGGCACCUCGAUGUCGGCUCAUCACAUCCUGGGGCUGAAGUAGGUCCCAAGGGUAUGGCUGUUCGCCAUUUAAAGUGGUACGCGAGCUGGGUUUAGAACGUCGUGAGACAGUUCGGUCCCUAUCUGCCGUGGGCGCUGGAGAAUUGAGGGGGGCUGCUCCUAGUACGAGAGGACCGGAGUGGACGCAUCACUGGUGUUCGGGUUGUCAUGCCAAUGGCACUGCCCGGUAGCUAAAUGCGGAAGAGAUAAGUGCUGAAAGCAUCUAAGCACGAAACUUGCCCCGAGAUGAGUUCUCCCUGAGACUUUAAGUCUCCUGAAGGAACGUUGAAGACGACGACGUUGAUAGGUCGGGUGUGUAAGCGCAGCGAUGCGUUGAGCUAACCGAUACUAAUGAACCGUGAGGCUUAACCUU
Molecule: ribosomal RNA, 2551 nt
Filed under: Enterobacter sp. MGH 3
Lineage: Bacteria; Pseudomonadati; Pseudomonadota; Gammaproteobacteria; Enterobacterales; Enterobacteriaceae
Description: bacterial LSU rRNA
Rfam family: Bacterial large subunit ribosomal RNA
Source: RNAcentral